CACGUAGGGUGCGAGCGUUGUCCGGAAUUGUUGGGCGUAAAGAGCUCGUAGGCGGUGUGUCGCGUCGGCCGUGAAAACCUGCAGCUUAACUGUGGGCUUGCGGUCGAUACGGGCAUCACUGGAGUUCGGCAGGGGAGACUGGAAUUCCUGGUGUAGCGGUGAAAUGCGCAGAUAUCAGGAGGAACACCGGUGGCGAAGGCGGGUCUCUGGGCCGAUACUGACGCUGAGGAGCGAAAGCGUGGGGAGCGAACAGG
Molecule: ribosomal RNA, 254 nt
Filed under: uncultured bacterium
Lineage: Bacteria
Description: partial 16S ribosomal RNA
Rfam family: Bacterial small subunit ribosomal RNA
Source: RNAcentral